Molecule: long non-coding RNA, 696 nt
Filed under: Olea europaea subsp. europaea
Lineage: Eukaryota; Viridiplantae; Streptophyta; Magnoliopsida; Lamiales; Oleaceae
Source: RNAcentral
AGAUAAGAAAAGAAGGAAGGGAAAUUUAAUUCUUGGAGAGUCAAAAAUGGCGGCUGCUAAGUUUAUAUACAUACACACACAGGAACAAAGAAUAAGAAGUGGGCAAUAGGCUGUUGGUUAAUAUAUACAUUUAUAUAUACACGACAGAGGUCUUUGGGGGAGGAUUUUUUUUUGUGGUAGCCAAUUGAAGGAAAAAUUGGAGAUUUUUUGGAGACUAAACCAUUGAAAAAGGUAGCCAACUUGGGAAAAUUAAUAAGGCAGCAACUUGGAGCCGUUCUUGAAGAAAAAGGAGGCAACUGAGGGAAUUAGACACACACACACUUGGGCGGCUGAACUGGAGGAUUCUUACAUGCAUCCAGGGGAUGAAAACUGAAGGGAAACUCCAAAUAUAUCUGCAGAAGAGGACAGGGCAGCAAGCAAAGAAAUAAUUUCACGAUUCUUAAUUCAUCAAUAAUUGUUACACAAAGUUUGUCUCGUUCCAUCAAGUUCUCGGUGAUGUCGUCUAAACUUUCUUUGUUUAAUUCCAAAAAUAUGCUAGGCUAAAUAUUCUCAUGUAUUGGAUGGAUGACAAAAUUGUUUAAUUCUUAGUUUUUAAUUCAAGACCAGUGUUUUUAUGUUAAUUCUUGUGUUGGGAUUCCGUUAAUAUGUCUAUUUACAUUGUUUUAAUGUUUGCAUACCAUUAGGACAAUAAAUUGC